This 1953-nucleotide long non-coding RNA is filed under the name Ananas comosus (pineapple). RNAcentral describes it as "long non-coding RNA (ACOM_LNC011357)". The record is from RNAcentral. Lineage: Eukaryota; Viridiplantae; Streptophyta; Magnoliopsida; Poales; Bromeliaceae.
UAUAUAGGGUCCAGCUACUAUCCUAUUAAUAGGAUUGGGACCCUUGUCCUAUCAAGUCGAUUUGAAUGAUCGAAACUUCAAAUUGAUAAUCGGCACCGUUGAAGUUGAUCUACACAAUUAGAAAUGUUUAGAAACCAAAUUUUGUAUUAUUUAAAAAUCAUUAUCAAGUUCAUCUUAAGAGUUGAAAAAUGAACGGUCAUAAAUGAAUAACCUUCUUAAAAUAGAAGUUAGACUUUCUCAGUUCGUAAUAAGAGUUAUCAAACAUUAUCUUAAUAGUAUAAAGAAUUUUUUAUCAAAAAUUCAAGCAAUUUGGAUUGCUCUACACCGUUAAACAAGAAAACGGCUCAUAUAGGCCGUCAAAAAUUGUCGAUUUUACGACACUUUGAUCACAUGUAAACCAUCUAUCAAAAUUUAUGAAAAUUUAGUUUCUAGAUAUUUCAAAUACAAUACCAAUCAACUUCAACGGCUCCCGACAUCGAUUCGGAAUCCUCGAUCAUCAGAACAACUUGAUAGAACAAGUGCUACUAUCCCAUAAUAGGAUAGCUAGCAUUAGCUAUCAUAUAUAUAUAUAUAUAGAAUUAGGCUAGAAUACUAUUAAUAGUAAAACGCUUUUUUUGCUAUCAAAUUUUUAACCCUUGAAUGAAAAAUUGUAGGGUCAGGAUGAUAUUAGUCGAUUGGAGUUGAGUGGUCCCCCUAGGGUUGAGUGGUCCCCACUGGGUUAUAGUAUUUAAUUCAAUGGUUAGAAAUAAUGAAAAGAGUUGAUCCAAAGGCUAAAAUAUUGAUAGCAACAAUUGGAUUUUGCUACUAAUAGUAGUCCAGUCCAACUCUAUAUACAUAUAUAGAGUUGAACUAGAAUACUAUCGGUAGUAAACGAGUCGUUUUACUACCGAUUUGUUUUCGAUGAUAGAGCUUCCAAAUUGACGAUCAGCUCGGUUAAAUAUGAUCUAAACUAUUUAAACUACCUAGAAAUUAAAUUUCGCGCACUUUCGAUAUUGUUCUUUUAUCUAUCAAGUGAACAGAAAAAUGAAUGGCUGAAAAUGAAUACUCUUUAAAAAAUGAUGAUAGGAGUCUUGUAAUCAAGAUCAAGAGUAUAGAACUUGUUUUAAAUAGUUUAAAGAAUUUUCUAACAAAAAUUCAAUUGAUUUAGAUAUCUUUACGCCGUUAAACGAAAAAACGCCUCUUAUCGACCAUUAAAAUUACAAAUAUUGAAACCCUUUGAUCAUUAGGCAAAUGAUAUCGAAAAGGUUUAAAAUUUGAUUUCUAAACACUUCAAGUGGUAUAGAUCAUGUUCAACGGAGCCGAUCGUCAAUUUGGAAGCUCUAUUAUCGAAAACAAAUUGGUAGUAAAACGGCUCGUUUACUACCGAUAGUAUUCUAGCAAAACUCUAUAUAUAUAUAUAUAUAUAUAUAUAUAGAUAUAUAUAUAUAUAUAUUUGUUNGAAUCUCGAUCAUCAAGAACAACUUGAUAGGACAAGUGCUCCUAUCCUAUUAAUAGGAUAGUAGCAUUAGCCUAUAUAUAUAUAUAUAUAUAAUUAGGCCGGAAUACUAUUAAUAGUAAAACGCUUUUUUUGUUAUCAAAUUUUUAACCCUUGGAUGAAAAAUUGUAGGGUCAGGAUGAUAUUAAUCGGUUAGAGUUGAGUGGUCCCCCUAAGGUUGAGUGGUCCCCACUGAGUUAUAGUAUUUAAUCCAAUGGUUAGAAAUAAUGAAAAUAGUUGAUCCAAAGGCUAAAAUAUUGAUAGCAACAAUGGGAUUUUGCUACUAAUAGUAGUCCAGUCCAACUCUAUAUACAUAUAUAGAGUUGAACUAGAAUACUAUCGGUAGUAAACGAGCUGUUUUACUACCGAUUUGUUUUCGAUGAUAGAGCUUCCAAAUUGACGAUCAGCUCCGUUAAAUAUGAUCUAAACUAUUUAAACUACCUAGAAAUCAAAUUUCACGCACUUUCGAUAUUGUUCUN